RNAcentral lists this transfer RNA (85 nucleotides) under Collybiopsis luxurians FD-317 M1. RNAcentral describes it as "Gymnopus luxurians FD-317 M1 tRNA". It matches the Rfam family "tRNA". From Rfam's summary of the family: Transfer RNA (tRNA) molecules are approximately 80 nucleotides in length. Lineage: Eukaryota; Fungi; Basidiomycota; Agaricomycetes; Agaricales; Omphalotaceae. The record is from Rfam by way of RNAcentral.
CCGACCUUAGCUCAGUUGGAAGAGCACAAGACUGUAAUGGGAAAUAUUGAUCUUGGGGUCGCCUGUUCGAACCAGGCAGGUCGGA